Oryza sativa Japonica Group (Japanese rice) is the source of this 1849-nucleotide non-coding RNA. The record is from RefSeq and is a predicted model, not a curated record. NCBI's taxonomy places the organism in Eukaryota, Viridiplantae, Streptophyta, Magnoliopsida, Poales, Poaceae.
UCAACCUUGGGUAAUAAAUCAACUAGCUUGUGUUACUUAUGUUGACCUAGCUACAACUACAUGCUUAGCCAUGCUUAAUUACCACUAGCUCAAUUGAUGGGAUAAUUACAGUAUUAGACCUCUUAGUAUCCAGACGAGCUGCGUGAUCGGAACAUCCGGCCAUGUUUCUUUGGUCAUAAUUAUCCUACUAAAAUGCAACAUAAUGGUGGGCUGUGGGUGCAUGGUUUUGCUAGUCGCACCCAUGGUAGGACCGGUUCGCGGGAAACCCUGGAAGACAUACCACGCUUGCCACAAGCGGGAAUGGGUAAACUACUUGAUCUGUAGUAUAGCUUUCCUCUAGCUGACAUUUCCAAGCUAGGGUGGGUGUGAUGGAGUAUGGAUGGGCCCUACGACAGCCUUUGCUGCUUCCGAAUUCACCGUGGCAUGAGGGGGGGCUGCCCGCUGCCUGCUGGGGGCGGAGGUGAAACCUGCGGUGUGAUGUGAUUGGUCAGAUGGGGUUAUAUGAAGGAUCUUGUCACAAUCACUCGACAUGGUGACAUGUCAUGCAUGGCACGGUGACAUGAGUGGAUUGUGUCUUAUGGGUACAGUUGUGCACCUCUAGCUAGAGUAAAACUAUUCGAAUAGCCGUGCCCGCGGUUAUGGGCGAUCGACCAGAUUCACCGUGAUUAGUCUCACCCUAAUAAAUCGACCCAAUGCACUGUGUAGUUCAGGUGGGAUGGUUGGGCCUGUUCAACGUGGCAUAGCGUUGAUCAGUGAAGAUCGAAUAUUACCUUAAUUAAUCAAUUGUUUUACUAUUUUCCAACUGUAAAUGCUUUACAACCACCUUUAUGCAAAUAGCCACAAACCUUCCUUGAGUCCCCUUGCGCGCCUGCAUCAAUGGUGUGGCUUGUUAAGUACGGUGGUUAUACUUAGCCUUGAUGUUAUUCCUCAUUUUCAAAAGUGUAGUACUUCUGAGCUGAAGACGAAGUUAGAGGACCAAGGCACAUACCCAGUUGAGUUUUGCCUGUGGAGUAGAGCUGAAGCCCCGCUAGGAUCGCCUUUUUCGCUUCUAUCGUUCUCUUUCGAUCAUCAGGUCGGUUUUAAGGAAGAGGAGAGACCGGAUCACUCUUUGUGGUCACCAUGCACCUAGAUAGUUGCGCCAUAUGAGUACUCGGCUUCUGAAGAAGGGAGCAAAUGAGUAGCAAGCGAAACAAUCAAAUGUGGCAUCGAUGUUCUUUGUUGUGCGUCUAUAUCGGGUACAUUUGUUUCAUUGGAUAUUAAUACUAUUUGCUAAAUAACUGAUGAUAUUACAUGACGAAAGUUUGUUGCAUUUAUUUUCAUGUAGGCACUUCUAUGUGCAAGACCAUGCACUACACGAUAAGCACCAUAUGGAAAAACUGAGGACGGUUUUCUAUGAAGAAGAGGAGGAUGAUGUGACCUGGCUACCAUAGGUAUAACAAUUGUUCACUUCAGGGAUCAAGAAGAAUACAUCAAGAUCAAGCCGUCCAAGUGAUGGAAUCAAAUUCGGCUACCUGCUACCGUGCUGACUUCAAACGACUGUCAAAUAUGUAUACAAGCUCUGUUUUGGUUCUGUGAGUAUUUGAUGGAUAGCUCUUAUCGGAGUCCUCUUUCCAACGGAUCUAGCCUCAUCGCCAAAUUCCAUCUCAGUCAUCCGCAAUCAAAGAAACAUGGUGCUAAAAUACCUGUCGUGGGCCUUUGGAUUUGUAACUUCAUUUAGGACCCCGGCCCAUGUGGGGUGAGCCCCAUCCUGGUGGAGCACGACCCUAGGGACCCUUUGGUCGUCCCCUCAUCUCCUUAAAUAGCCAUGUAUCCCUUCAGAGUGUCUAGAGUUUGUUUAGAUUAAAGUUUA